This 508-nucleotide ribosomal RNA is filed under the name Phucobius sp. Philippines. RNAcentral's name for it is "partial 16S ribosomal RNA". It matches the Rfam family "Bacterial large subunit ribosomal RNA", at positions 1830 to 2597 of the family's 2925-position model. Lineage: Eukaryota; Metazoa; Arthropoda; Insecta; Coleoptera; Staphylinidae. The record is from RNAcentral.
GUCCUUUUGAUUAUAAUUUAAGGUCUAACCUGCUCGCUGAGGACUUGAAGGGCCGCAGUAUUUUGACUGUGCGAAGGUAGCAUAAUAAUUAGUUUUUUAAUUGGAAGCUGGAAUGAAUGGUUGAACGAGGAAAUAGCUGUCUCUAUAUUAUUUUAUUAGAAUUUUAUGUUUGAGUAAAAAAGCUUAAAUUUUUUUAAAAGACGAGAAGACCCUAUAGAGUUUUAUAAGAUUUAUUAUUAGUGAUUUUUAGGAUAAUUUUUUAUUAAGAAUGUAUUUUAUUUUAUUGGGGUGAUAGAAAAAUUUAAGUAACUUUUUUUUUAUUUAAUCAUUUAUUUAUGAUUAAUUGAUCCAGUUAUUUUGAUUAUAAGAUUAAAUUACCUUAGGGAUAACAGCGUAAUUUUUUUUGAGAGUUCUAAUCGAAAAAAAAGAUUGCGACCUCGAUGUUGGAUUAAAAUUUAUUUUUGGUGUAGAAGCUAAGAAAUUAAGUCUGUUCGACUUUUAAAAUUUU